This 522-nucleotide ribosomal RNA is filed under the name uncultured bacterium. RNAcentral describes it as "partial 16S ribosomal RNA". It matches the Rfam family "Bacterial small subunit ribosomal RNA", at positions 355 to 870 of the family's 1533-position model. The record is from RNAcentral.
UGGGGAAUUUUGGACAAUUGGGCGAAAGCCUGAUCCAGCAAUGCCGCGUGUGUGAAGAAGGCCUUCGGGUUGUAAAGCACUUUUGUCCGGAAAGAAAUCCUUGGCUCUAAUACAGUCGGGGGAUGACGGUACCGGAAGAAUAAGCACCGGCUAACUACGUGCCAGCAGCCGCGGUAAUACGUAGGGUGCAAGCGUUAAUCGGAAUUACUGGGCGUAAAGCGUGCGCAGGCGGUUUGCUAAGACCGAUGUGAAAUCCCCGGGCUCAACCUGGGAACUGCAUUGGUGACUGGCAGGCUAGAGUAUGGCAGAGGGGGGUAGAAUUCCACGUGUAGCAGUGAAAUGCGUAGAGAUGUGGAGGAAUACCGAUGGCGAAGGCAGCCCCCUGGGCAAGUACUGACGCUCAUGCACGAAAGCGUGGGGAGCAAACNGGAUUAAUNCCCUGGUAGUCCACGCCCUAAANGAUGUCAACUAGUUGUUGGGGAUUCAUUUCCUUAGUAACGUAGCUAACGCGUGAAGUUGACC